UGGGGAAUAUUGCACAAUGGGCGCAAGCCUGAUGCAGCCAUGCCGCGUGUAUGAAGAAGGCCUUCGGGUUGUAAAGUACUUUCAGCGGGGAGGAAGGUGUUGAGGUUAAUAACCUCAGCAAUUGACGUUACCCGCAGAAGAAGCACCGGCUAACUCCGUGCCAGCAGCCGCGGUAAUACGGAGGGUGCAAGCGUUAAUCGGAAUUACUGGGCGUAAAGCGCACGCAGGCGGUCUGUCAAGUCGGAUGUGAAAUCCCCGGGCUCAACCUGGGAACUGCAUUCGAAACUGGCAGGCUAGAGUCUUGUAGAGGGGGGUAGAAUUCCAGGUGUAGCGGUGAAAUGCGUAGAGAUCUGGAGGAAUACCGGUGGCGAAGGCGGCCCCCUGGACAAAGACUGACGCUCAGGUGCGAAAGCGUGCGGAGCAAACA
RNAcentral lists this ribosomal RNA (427 nucleotides) under uncultured bacterium. RNAcentral describes it as "partial 16S ribosomal RNA". It matches the Rfam family "Bacterial small subunit ribosomal RNA", at positions 355 to 774 of the family's 1533-position model. The record is from RNAcentral.